AAGGAUUUAAGUUAAGCAAACUAUCAACCUUCAAAGUUGGAAAUAAAACCCCAUUUUUAAGCCUUA
This 66-nucleotide transfer RNA is filed under the name Coraebus diminutus. RNAcentral describes it as "tRNA-Trp". Lineage: Eukaryota; Metazoa; Arthropoda; Insecta; Coleoptera; Buprestidae. The record is from RNAcentral.